GUCCGUCGUGAAGAGGGAAACAACCCAGACCGCCAGCUAAGGUCCCAAAGUCAUGGUUAAGUGGGAAACGAUGUGGGAAGGCCCAGACAGCCAGGAUGUUGGCUUAGAAGCAGCCAUCAUUUAAAGAAAGCGUAAUAGCUCACUGGUCGAGUCGGCCUGCGCGGAAGAUGUAACGGGGCUAAACCAUGCACCGAAGCUGCGGCAGCGACGCUUAUGCGUUGUUGGGUAGGGGAGCGUUCUGUAAGCCUGCGAAGGUGUGCUGUGAGGCAUGCUGGAGGUAUCAGAAGUGCGAAUGCUGACAUAAGUAACGAUAAAGCGGGUGAAAAGCCCGCUCGCCGGAAGACCAAGGGUUCCUGUCCAACGUUAAUCGGGGCAGGGUGAGUCGACCCCUAAGGCGAGGCCGAAAGGCGUAGUCGAUGGGAAACAGGUUAAUAUUCCUGUACUUGGUGUUACUGCGAAGGGGGGACGGAGAAG
This 474-nucleotide ribosomal RNA is filed under the name Escherichia coli IS9. RNAcentral's name for it is "LSU rRNA". It matches the Rfam family "Bacterial large subunit ribosomal RNA", at positions 1003 to 1480 of the family's 2925-position model. The record is from RNAcentral. Lineage: Bacteria; Pseudomonadati; Pseudomonadota; Gammaproteobacteria; Enterobacterales; Enterobacteriaceae.